GAAAGGCCCGCAAGGGUCGCCAGAGGACGGGUCCGCGUCCCAUCAGCUACGGUUGGUGAGGUAAUGGCUCACCAAGGCGAAGACGGGUAGCUGGUCUGAGAGGAUGAUCAGCCACACUGGAACUGAGACACGGUCCAGACUCCUACGGGAGGCAGCAGUGGGGAAUAUUGCGCAAUGGGCGAAAGCCUGUACGCAGCCACGCCGCGUGAGCGAUGAAGGUCUUCGGAUCGUAAAGCUCUGUGGGGGGAGAAGAAGAAAGUCGGUGAAGAGCCGGCCCCUGACGGUAUCCCCUUAGCAAGCACCGGCUAACUCCGUGCCAGCAGCCGCGGUAAUACGGAGGGUGCAAACGUUGCUCGGAAUCAUUGGGCGUAAAGCGCGCGUAGGCGGCUGAACAAGUUGGAUGUGAAAGCCCUGGGCUCAACCUAGGAUGUGCAUUCAAAACUGUUCGGCUUGAGUCUCGGAGGGGGUCAGAGAAUUCUACGGUGUAGAGGUGAAAUUCGUAGAUAUCGG
Molecule: ribosomal RNA, 510 nt
Filed under: uncultured bacterium
Lineage: Bacteria
Description: bacterial SSU rRNA
Rfam family: Bacterial small subunit ribosomal RNA
Source: RNAcentral